Molecule: long non-coding RNA, 523 nt
Organism: Acanthopagrus latus (yellowfin seabream)
Lineage: Eukaryota; Metazoa; Chordata; Actinopteri; Spariformes; Sparidae
Exons: 4
Source: RefSeq, a predicted model, not a curated record
UCUGAAGCCAGACUGGCGUCGAUGGUGACGGACAGAAAGCGUCGGUCCACCCGGCGGAUCACCGCGGACAGGUCCGCCAUCACCGCCGCGUCCAGACGCUCCGAAGAGUUCUGGUUCUGGAGCCUAAUGUGGACCCCGAGCGGGCAGAUCCAACGGAACCAUCAGCAGCUCGUCCACUUCCUCCUGCAGAGCUGCAGCUUUUUCAUUCAGCAGCAUCUGGAACACAGAGACGCUCGUCAGAGAUCGAGAUGUCAGCUGACGAGGAGCCGACAGGAGGAAACUUGCCCUUACUGCCUGCGUACUCCUCCACCAUGAAGUCCAGCUCCAGGCCGAAGCUCGCUAACCCGCGGACCUGCAGAACAACCAGGCAGCCGUUAACGAAAGAAAGGUUCCCACACCUCCACCUCACUGUGGAAUAAAUCACUGGUGUAACAAACCCAUCAGACAUCUGAAGCACCUGUCCACCUGUCACAGUAUCAGUCAUCUGUGAUCAUCUGUCAUCAAAGUGCUGCAUGCUGAAUGU